Molecule: ribosomal RNA, 253 nt
Filed under: uncultured bacterium
Lineage: Bacteria
Description: partial 16S ribosomal RNA
Rfam family: Bacterial small subunit ribosomal RNA
Source: RNAcentral
UACGUAGGAGGCAAGCGUUGUCCGGAGUUACUGGGCGUAAAGAGCUCGUAGGUGGUUUGUCGCGUUGUUCGUGAAAUCUCACGGCUUAACUGUGAGCGUGCGGGCGAUACGGGCAGACUAGAGUACUGCAGGGGAGACUGGAAUUCCUGGUGUAGCGGUGGAAUGCGCAGAUAUCAGGAGGAACACCGGUGGCGAAGGCGGGUCUCUGGGCAGUAACUGACGCUGAGGAGCGAAAGCGUGGGGAGCGAACAGG